AGUAGGGAAUCUUCCGCAAUGGACGAAAGUCUGACGGAGCAACGCCGCGUGAGCGAAGAAGGUCUUCGGAUCGUAAAGCUCUGUUGUCAGGGAAGAACAAGUGCCGUUCGAACAGGGCGGUACCUUGACGGUACCUGACGAGGAAGCCACGGCUAACUACGUGCCAGCAGCCGCGGUAAUACGUAGGUGGCAAGCGUUGUCCGGAAUUAUUGGGCGUAAAGCGCGCGCAGGCGGUUCCUUAAGUCUGAUGUGAAAUCUCGCGGCUCAACCGCGAGCGGCCAUUGGAAACUGGGGAACUUGAGUGCAGGAGAGGGGAGCGGAAUUCCACGUGUAGCGGUGAAAUGCGUAGAGAUGUGGAGGAACACCAGUGGCGAAGGCGGCUCUCUGGCCUGUAACUGACGCUGAGGCGCGAAAGCGUGGGGAGCGAACAGGAUUAGAUACCCUGGUAGUCCACGCCGUAAACGAUGAGUGCUAAGUGUUAGAGGGUAUCCACCCUUUA
This 499-nucleotide ribosomal RNA is filed under the name uncultured Geobacillus sp. Its description in RNAcentral is "bacterial SSU rRNA". It matches the Rfam family "Bacterial small subunit ribosomal RNA", at positions 353 to 842 of the family's 1533-position model. Lineage: Bacteria; Bacillati; Bacillota; Bacilli; Caryophanales; Anoxybacillaceae. The record is from RNAcentral.